Molecule: ribosomal RNA, 1470 nt
Filed under: metagenome
Description: bacterial SSU rRNA
Rfam family: Bacterial small subunit ribosomal RNA
Source: RNAcentral
AGAGUUUGAUCCUGGCUCAGGACGAACGCUGGCGGCACGCUUAACACAUGCAAGUCGAACGAGAGAAGAGGAGCUUGCUUUUCUGAUCUAGUGGCGGACGGGUGAGUAACACGUGAGCAAUCUGCCUUUCAGAGGGGGAUACCGAUUGGAAACGAUCGUUAAUACCGCAUAACAUAAUUGAACCGCAUGAUUUGAUUAUCAAAGAUUUAUCGCUGAAAGAUGAGCUCGCGUCUGAUUAGCUAGUUGGUAAGGUAACGGCUUACCAAGGCGACGAUCAGUAGCCGGACUGAGAGGUUGAUCGGCCACAUUGGGACUGAGACACGGCCCAGACUCCUACGGGAGGCAGCAGUGGGGAAUAUUGCACAAUGGAGGAAACUCUGAUGCAGCGAUGCCGCGUGAGGGAAGAAGGUUUUAGGAUUGUAAACCUCUGUCUUCAGGGACGAAAAAAGACGGUACCUGAGGAGGAAGCUCCGGCUAACUACGUGCCAGCAGCCGCGGUAAUACGUAGGGAGCGAGCGUUGUCCGGAAUUACUGGGUGUAAAGGGAGCGUAGGCGGGAUCGCAAGUCAGAUGUGAAAACUAUGGGCUUAACCCAUAAACUGCAUUUGAAACUGUGGUUCUUGAGUGAAGUAGAGGUAAGCGGAAUUCCUAGUGUAGCGGUGAAAUGCGUAGAUAUUAGGAGGAACAUCAGUGGCGAAGGCGGCUUACUGGGCUUUAACUGACGCUGAGGCUCGAAAGCGUGGGGAGCAAACAGGAUUAGAUACCCUGGUAGUCCACGCCGUAAACGAUGAUUACUAGGUGUGGGGGGACUGACCCCUUCCGUGCCGCAGCAAACGCAAUAAGUAAUCCACCUGGGGAGUACGACCGCAAGGUUGAAACUCAAAGGAAUUGACGGGGGCCCGCACAAGCAGUGGAGUAUGUGGAUUAAUUCGAAGCAACGCGAAGGACCUUACCAGGUCUUGACAUCGUAUGCAUAGCUCAGAGAUGAGUGAAAUCUCUUCGGAGACAUAUAGACAGGUGGUGCAUGGUUGUCGUCAGCUCGUGUCGUGAGAUGUUGGGUUAAGUCCCGCAACGAGCGCAACCCUUACUGUUAGUUGCUACGCAAGAGCACUCUAGCAGGACUGCCGUUGACAAAACGGAGGAAGGUGGGGAUGACGUCAAAUCAUCAUGCCCCUUAUGACCUGGGCCUCACACGUACUACAACGGCUGUCAACAGAGGGAAGCAAAGCCGCGAGGUGGAGCGAACCCCUAAAAGCAGUCUUAGUUCGGAUUGUAGGCUGCAACCCGCCUACAUGAAGUCGGAAUUGCUAGUAAUCGCAGAUCAGCAUGCUGCGGUGAAUACGUUCCCGGGCCUUGUACACACCGCCCGUCACGCCAUGGGAGUCGGUAACACCCGAAGCCUGUAGUCUAACCGCAAGGAGGACGCAGUCGAAGGUGGGAUUGAUGACUGGGGUGAAGUCGAAACAAGGUA